GCGGCGCGGCAGACGACGGCGCGUUUAACGCGAGGAAAGUCCGGGCUACGGCGGAGCGGGGUUCCGCUUAACGAGCGGCGAGAGCGAUCUUAGGGAAAGCGCAACAGAAAAUAAACCGCCGCGUUUAACGCGGUAAGGGUGAAACGGCGGCGUAAGAGACCACCGAGCCUUUGGCGACAAAGGUUGCAGGCAAGCCCAACCCGUAGCAAGAGGCGUCAGGUUAAAGCUCCGCGCAAGCGAACGCCUCGCUUGAGUCGUUUGGCGACAAACGACCUAGAGAAAUCGUCGUCCAAGACAGAACCCGGCUUAUCGCCGCGCCGCAAAA
RNAcentral lists this RNase P RNA (325 nucleotides) under Helicobacteraceae bacterium. RNAcentral's name for it is "RNase P RNA component class A". It matches the Rfam family "Bacterial RNase P class A". From Rfam's summary of the family: Ribonuclease P (RNase P) is a ubiquitous endoribonuclease, found in archaea, bacteria and eukarya as well as chloroplasts and mitochondria. The record is from RNAcentral. Lineage: Bacteria; Pseudomonadati; Campylobacterota; Epsilonproteobacteria; Campylobacterales; Helicobacteraceae.